UACAGAGGGUGCGAGCGUUAAUCGGAAUUACUGGGCGUAAAGGGCGCGUAGGCGGCUAUGUAAGUCGGGUGUGAAAGCCCAGGGCUUAACCCUGGAAGUGCAUUCGAAACUACAUGGCUAGAGUCCCGGAGAGGGUGGUGGAAUUCCCAGUGUAGAGGUGAAAUUCGUAGAUAUUGGGAGGAACACCGGUGGCGAAGGCGGCCACCUGGACGGAGACUGACGCUGAGGCGCGAAAGCGUGGGGAGCAAACAGG
This 253-nucleotide ribosomal RNA is filed under the name uncultured bacterium. RNAcentral describes it as "partial 16S ribosomal RNA". It matches the Rfam family "Bacterial small subunit ribosomal RNA", at positions 524 to 776 of the family's 1533-position model. The record is from RNAcentral.